RNAcentral lists this ribosomal RNA (907 nucleotides) under Angustimassarina arezzoensis. RNAcentral describes it as "eukaryotic LSU rRNA". It matches the Rfam family "Eukaryotic large subunit ribosomal RNA", at positions 39 to 964 of the family's 3401-position model. The record is from RNAcentral. Lineage: Eukaryota; Fungi; Ascomycota; Dothideomycetes; Pleosporales; Amorosiaceae.
CAUAUCAUAAGCGGAGGAAAAGAAACCAACAGGGAUUGCCCUAGUAACGGCGAGUGAAGCGGCAACAGCUCAAAUUUGAAAUCUGGCCUCUUUGGGGGUCCGAGUUGUAAUUUGCAGAGGGUGCUUUGGCGUUGGCUGUGGUCUAAGUUCCUUGGAACAGGACGUCGCAGAGGGUGAGAAUCCCGUAUGUGGCCGCCAGUCUUCGCCGUGUAAAGCCCCUUCGACGAGUCGAGUUGUUUGGGAAUGCAGCUCUAAAUGGGAGGUAAAUUUCUUCUAAAGCUAAAUAUUGGCCAGAGACCGAUAGCGCACAAGUAGAGUGAUCGAAAGAUGAAAAGCACUUUGGAAAGAGAGUCAAAAAGCACGUGAAAUUGUUGAAAGGGAAGCGCUUGCAGCCAGACUUGCUUGCAGUUGUUCAGCCGGGCUCUUGCCCGGUCUACUCUUCUGCUCGCAGGCCAGCAUCAGUCCGGGCGGUUGGAUAAAGGCCUAUUAAACGUACCUCCCCUCGGGGAGGACUUAUAGGGUAGGCGACAUGCAACCAGCCCGGAUUGAGGUCCGCGCAUCUGCUAGGAUGCUGGCGUAAUGGCUGUAAGCGGCCCGUCUUGAAACACGGACCAAGGAGUCUAACAUCUAUGCGAGUGUUUGGGUGUCAAGCCCGAGCGCGUAAUGAAAGUGAACGGAGGUGGGAACCUUUCGGGGUGCACCAUCGACCGAUCCUGAUGUCUUCGGAUGGAUUUGAGUAAGAGCAUAGCUGUUGGGACCCGAAAGAUGGUGAACUAUGCCUGAAUAGGGUGAAGCCAGAGGAAACUCUGGUGGAGGCUCGCAGCGGUUCUGACGUGCAAAUCGAUCGUCAAAUUUGGGCAUAGGGGCGAAAGACUAAUCGAACUAUCUAGUAGCUGGUUCCUGCCGA